GACGAACGCUGGCGGCGUGCUUAACACAUGCAAGUCGAGCGAAAAGGCUUUGCUAUUGCGCGUCGGUCGAGAGGUGAACGGGUGUGUAACACGUGAGUAGACUGCCCCUUACUUAGGGUUAAUUACACGAUACUGGGGCUAAUACAGGAUAGGAUCUAUUGCUGCAUGGUGGGCGUUGGAAAGUUUCGGCGGUUGGGGAUGUACUCGCGGCUUAUCUGCUUUUUGGUGGGGUAGUGGAUUACCAAGGCUUAGAGGGGUAGCCGGCCUGAGAGGGUGACCGGCAACAUUAGGACUGAGAUAAGGACCAGACUAAUACGGGAGGCAACGGUGGAGAGUAUUGCAGAGUAGGCGGAAGCCAGAUGCGACGACGCCGCGUGCGGGAUACCAGGCUUCGGGUUGAAAACCAAUGUCGCCUGUGACGAGGAGUGAGUGACGGUAAUAGAUAAAAAAGCCCCGGCUAACUACGUG
RNAcentral lists this ribosomal RNA (468 nucleotides) under uncultured bacterium. Its description in RNAcentral is "partial 16S ribosomal RNA". It matches the Rfam family "Bacterial small subunit ribosomal RNA", at positions 28 to 507 of the family's 1533-position model. The record is from RNAcentral.